Molecule: ribosomal RNA, 425 nt
Filed under: uncultured bacterium
Lineage: Bacteria
Description: partial 16S ribosomal RNA
Rfam family: Bacterial small subunit ribosomal RNA
Source: RNAcentral
GUGGGGAAUAUUGGGCAAUGGGCGAAAGCCUGACCCAGCAACGCCACGUGAAGGAAGAAGGUCUUCGGAUCGUAAACUUCUAUCCUUGGUGAAGAUAAUGACGGUAGCCGAGAAGGAAGCCCCGGCUAACUACGUGCCAGCAGCCGCGGUAAUACGUAGGGGGCAAGCGUUGUCCGGAAUGAGUGGGCGUAAAGGGCGCGUAGGCGGCCUGGUAAGUCUGGAGUGAAAGUCCUGCUUUUAAGGUGGGAAUUGCUUUGGAUACUGUCGGGCUUGAGUGCAGGAGAGGUAAGUGGAAUUCCCGGUGUAGCGGUGAAAUGCGUAGAGAUCGGGAGGAACACCAGUGGCGAAGGCGACUUACUGGACUGUAACUGACGCUGAGGCGCGAAAGUGUGGGGAGCAAACAGGAUUAGAUACCCUAGUAGUCC